CUACCUUAAUACACAAAUGAAUUCAUUUUAAACAAAAACAAUUUUAUUAACUAAAAUAUUUGAUUUAGUUUAUUCUCUCAUUUUCUUUACAUGUGACAACCUUAUGAGACCAUAAUGGAAGAUAUUUAAAUCACCGGGAAUUUAGUUUACAGUAGAAUUAUAUAUGUUAGGUGUAGAUACCAUAUUCGGCCAUGUAAAGUAUGCAGUUAUGUAUAGUCAGCACCCCCUUUUAAUCCCCCAGAAAUAGAAAAAAUAAUAAAGAUUCACUGGUAUUCAUAAGGCUUUUUAUAUAAUUAGUGAAUUAUCAAUGAUUCCAUUAUACAAAGUAGGAAGACAAUCAAUUAACAUUGUCAGUAAAAAUAAAAUUGAUUUGUAUAAAUGUACAAACUUUUAAAAGAAGAACGAAAGUAAGGGCGCUCAAAACUUUUCUCCUGUUUUGUACCAAUCAUCUUCCAAUAUACAUUAAUUGUUUUUAUCCUGCAAUUAAACCUUGGCACUUUGACAAUUAUUUCUGUUUUACAUUUGAAACUGUUUUCUUAAGAUUUUAUAUAGAAAUCAACAUGGUUCAACACGAUCUGCAGAGAGGAACCCAAAAGGAACAAUAAAGUUAAAAUUACCGUUCCCUCACAACUUUAGCUAGACAAAACAAGUCUUCAUUUGAAAAUCUGUCAUUUGCACAAUAGUUGGCUGACUGCAGGAUAACUUUAUUUGCCAAGAAUUUAUUGGCAUCUGAAUAGACACAAGACCAAAAUGUAAUUUAUGUGUUGAAAAAACAGGGGUUACAUAGUUCAUAUACUGAUUUUUCAAUUAAUUUUACAAUUACAAGCUUGCUACAUAAUAAAACUCAUUUUAUUUUCUAAUCUAGAUACAUAUUUGAGCAAACUUUAUAUGACAAUAUAUAAAAUUCCCUUUUUUCCCUAAACUUUUGAAAUACCACACUAAGA
Molecule: long non-coding RNA, 944 nt
Filed under: Mytilus galloprovincialis (Mediterranean mussel)
Lineage: Eukaryota; Metazoa; Mollusca; Bivalvia; Mytilida; Mytilidae
Source: RNAcentral